GUAUCUUCCUUCAAAAUUAAACUGCAGAUAAAAAAAAACAGAGUUUCCUCUGUUUUGUUGCUAAAGAAAAAAAAGAUGCUUCCUUUUUUUCUAUUUUCUUUUUUAAUUAACUGGAAAAAAAAUACUGCUGAUUAAAACUAUUUGCAUUACACAAAACAAUCAAAACCCAGUAAUCUAUAGCUUUCUGCUGCAUUUUCUUGGUAACCAAACAGAGC
RNAcentral lists this unclassified non-coding RNA (215 nucleotides) under Hevea brasiliensis (rubber tree). The record is from RNAcentral. Lineage: Eukaryota; Viridiplantae; Streptophyta; Magnoliopsida; Malpighiales; Euphorbiaceae.